UGCUUUAUGGUGUAGUGAUUAACACGUCAGAUUUUGAUUCUGGAAUCUUAGGUUUGAAUCCUGAUAAGGCAAC
This 73-nucleotide transfer RNA is filed under the name termite gut metagenome. RNAcentral's name for it is "tRNA-Gln". It matches the Rfam family "tRNA". From Rfam's summary of the family: Transfer RNA (tRNA) molecules are approximately 80 nucleotides in length. Their secondary structure includes four short double-helical elements and three loops (D, anti-codon, and T loops). The record is from RNAcentral.